Molecule: ribosomal RNA, 451 nt
Filed under: uncultured bacterium
Lineage: Bacteria
Description: bacterial SSU rRNA
Rfam family: Bacterial small subunit ribosomal RNA
Source: RNAcentral
GAUGAACGCUGGCGGCGUGCUUAACACAUGCAAGUCGAACGGGAAUUACUUUAUUGAAGCUUCGGUCGAUUUAAUUUAAUUCUAGUGGCGGACGGGUGAGUAACGCGUGGGUAACCUGCCUUAUACAGGGGGAUAACAGUCAGAAAUGGCUGCUAAUACCGCAUAAGCGCACAGAGCUGCAUGGCUCAGUGUGAAAAACUCCGGUGGUAUAAGAUGGACCCGCGUUGGAUUAGCUAGUUGGUGGGGUAACGGCCCACCAAGGCGACGAUCCAUAGCCGGCCUGAGAGGGUGAACGGCCACAUUGGGACUGAGACACGGCCCAGACUCCUACGGGAGGCAGCAGUGGGGAAUAUUGCACAAUGGGGGAAACCCUGAUGCAGCGACGCCGCGUGAAGGAAGAAGUAUCUCGGUAUGUAAACUUCUAUCAGCAGGGAAGAUAGUGACGGUACCU